AUUUAUCACGGUGCCUAUACCACGUGACUUUUUAAGAUCUGUGUGGGGAGUAAAAUAUCAACAAAAGCGCGACGAAGGUAUGGCUCAAUGCUCCGAAUGCGGAAAAAUGUCGAAGACCAGAGCUGGAUUAUUGCGCCACAUUAGGGGACACGCUAACUCUGGAAACAAUAACUGCUGUGGGAAAGCAUUUCAGGAUGCCUACAAUCUUAGAAGGCUUCAACGAACAAAGGACCCCAAUGUCACGUGUGUGUACAGUGCGGCAGGAGCUUUGCGGACAAGUACCUACUCGUGGCUAGAGAGAAAAGUGCAAAAAAGAGGGAUUGGUGAAAUGUUACCAGUGUGGGUUGGCAGUUAGGAGUGAGAAUGACCUCAGAGAGCACGUCAAUACCCACAUGCAUGACAAGUGUUUCAGUAGU
Dreissena polymorpha is the source of this 416-nucleotide long non-coding RNA. RefSeq lists it as uncharacterized. The record is from RefSeq and is a predicted model, not a curated record. Lineage: Eukaryota; Metazoa; Mollusca; Bivalvia; Myida; Dreissenidae. The transcript has 3 exons.